Molecule: long non-coding RNA, 279 nt
Filed under: Lathyrus oleraceus (garden pea)
Lineage: Eukaryota; Viridiplantae; Streptophyta; Magnoliopsida; Fabales; Fabaceae
Description: Pisum sativum (pea) long non-coding RNA (PSAT_LNC023355)
Source: RNAcentral
AGCAAGUUGAAGGAUUUGGAGGUUGCAGAACGGUUGAGGGAGUUGUAUGAAGUUUUAAGGGAGUUGUAUGAAGUUUUAAAGAAGAACAACAAGAAGUUGCAAUCGAAAUUAAAUUCAAACGCUUAUACUGGGAAAAUUAAAUUUUUGUGUUUUGUAGUUUCUCAUAUGAUUAUGUGUACCUUAUAAUUAAGUGUAAUUAUUGAAGUGGAGCCAUGUUAGUGUUAUGUAAGGUUAUUUUUUUAAUGUAAUGAUUGUUCUUUAAUGGAACGUUGGUGUUUG